This 1099-nucleotide long non-coding RNA is filed under the name Pan troglodytes (chimpanzee). RNAcentral describes it as "long non-coding RNA NONPTRT006963". Lineage: Eukaryota; Metazoa; Chordata; Mammalia; Primates; Hominidae. The record is from RNAcentral.
GCCCGGGGGAGACUUCGCUGCUUGUUGGAGAUGCCCAGCGGUAGGGGGCGAGGACUCGGGAGGAAGAGAGCUGAAGGUGUUCCGUGGUCAGUGAGGGCUGGCACUGGCUCUGCACGAAGAUCUCCUCACCUCCCCAGCGGCUCCUGGCCAGCUCCCCACGGAGAGCCCAGGACACUUGUCCCUGGACACAGUGGUGCAGCCAUGCUUGGGCCAAACCAUGAGGCCACCAGAACCGCGAAAGGCUACUCUACUGAGAGGGAUACUGCGAGAGAGGCCCACGGGUUUCCAAGCAUCCCUCUCACUCCGCACACUCAUCUCCACGACCGGCUUUUAAGUGCGGCCUUGAGGCCUGGCUCCCUGUUUGGACUUCUCUGCACCUCCAGGAGCUCCCUUCCCGUCACAGCUGGAUGCCUCCUCCCGCAGGCACCUCCCCGGCAUCCUCCCGCCCCAGGCUGCAGCUUCUGUGGGACUGACCUUAAGACCCCAUCGGUUCCUCCUGAGAGCAGCAGAUCUCAGCCAGAUGCUGCCGGGAGGGAGGUGCUAGCGUCCACACCCAGACAGGGGUCCAGUCCAGCCCUGCUCUCCCUGGUCUCCAGGCAGGGCCCUCCCAGGGUGGACAUUGCCCAUCUCUGCCUGGCCAGGGGCUGCUGACCCACUGGUUCCAGAGUCUGAGCCUGUCCUGCACAAGUACCAUGGACAGGGGUCAGCCGGGCACUGAAGAGACGUGGCAGAAUUGGGCAGGGCAAGGGCCCCAGCUGGCAAGCUGGAGUCAGGGCAAUUCCAACCAAGAAACUGCGGCAGGCUGGGUGCAGUGUCUCAAGCCUAUAAUCCCAGCACUUUGGGAGGCAGUGGGAGAAUCGCUUGAGCCCGGGAGUUUGAGACCAGCAUUGGUAACACAGAGACACCCUAUCGCUACAAGAAAAAAAAAAAAAAAAAAGCUGGGCAUGGUGGUGCACACCUGUUGUCCCAGCUACUCAGGAGGCUGACGUGGGAGGAUUGCUUGUGCCCAGGGGUUGCAGGCUGCAGUGAGCUGUGAUCAUACCACUGCACUCCAGCCUGGGCGACAGAGAACCUCUCUAAAAAAAAAAGGAAAAUGAAA